CAAAACAAAACCCAACCUGCCUUAAAAUCUAA
This 32-nucleotide non-coding RNA is filed under the name Mus musculus (house mouse). The record is from RNAcentral. Lineage: Eukaryota; Metazoa; Chordata; Mammalia; Rodentia; Muridae.